This 466-nucleotide ribosomal RNA is filed under the name uncultured bacterium. RNAcentral's name for it is "partial 16S ribosomal RNA". It matches the Rfam family "Bacterial small subunit ribosomal RNA", at positions 28 to 507 of the family's 1533-position model. The record is from RNAcentral.
GACGAACGCUGGCGGCGUGCUUAACACAUGCAAGUCGAACGGAAAGGCCCUGCUUGCAGGGUACUCGAGUGGCGAACGGGUGAGUAACACGUGGGUGAUCUGCCCUGCACUUCGGGAUAAGCUUGGGAAACUGGGUCUAUUACCGGAUAGGAGCCAUCUUUAGUGUGGUGGUUGGAAAGUUUUUUCGGUGUAGGAUGAGCUCGCGGCCUAUCAGCUUGUUGGUGGGGUAAUGGCGUACCAAGGCGGCGACGGGUAGCCGGCCUGAGAGGGUGUACGGCCAGACUGGGCUUGUGCGAGGGCCCAGACUCCGACGGGAGGCAGCAGGGGGGAAUAUUGCACAAUGGGCGCAAGCCUGAUGCAGCGAGGCCGCGUGGGGGAUGAAGGCCUUCGGGUUGUAAACACCUUUCGCUAGGGACGAAGCGUUGUUGUGACGGUACCUAGAUAAGAAGCACCGGCUAACUACGUG